CAGUAGCCGCGGUAAUACGAAGGGGGCUAGCGUUGCUCGGAAUUACUGGGCGUAAAGGGCGCGUAGGCGGCGCUCCAAGUUAGGCGUGAAAUUCCCGGGCUCAACCUGGGGACUGCGCUUAAGACUGGAGUGCUUGAGGAUGGAAGAGGGUUGUGGAAUUCCCAGUGUAGAGGUGAAAUUCGUAGAUAUUGGGAAGGACACCGGUGGCGAAGGCGGCAACCUGGUCCAUUACUGACGCUGAGGCGCGAUAGCGUGGGGAGCAAACAGGAUUAGAUACCCCAGUAGUCCCUGUCUCUUAUAC
This 301-nucleotide ribosomal RNA is filed under the name uncultured bacterium. Its description in RNAcentral is "partial 16S ribosomal RNA". It matches the Rfam family "Bacterial small subunit ribosomal RNA", at positions 509 to 807 of the family's 1533-position model. The record is from RNAcentral.